Molecule: long non-coding RNA, 555 nt
Organism: Strongylocentrotus purpuratus (purple sea urchin)
Lineage: Eukaryota; Metazoa; Echinodermata; Echinoidea; Camarodonta; Strongylocentrotidae
Exons: 4
Source: RefSeq, a predicted model, not a curated record
AGUAAACAAAGUCUGACUGGCUCACGCUCUCGGCCUCGAUCGCCAAUGAGGUGCUACCAUCUCAGAUCUAUAGUUAUAAGUAUCAAGCACGCAUCUAGAAUCAAGAAAUUCUUGAUUUUCUGAAGGAGCGAACAGCGCUUGUAACAGCAUGUCACGUACAGUCUUUGAAUCAAGAGUACAGCGGAUCUACGGAAGUGUUGAGGAGGUCAUUGACAAGGCUCAAAGAAAAGGCCGCUGAGGUGUAAGGUGUCUUUAUACACACCACGCUACAAAGCUAGGCUACAACAGACGAUGACGUAGUAUUUUCCUUACCCGUGUGACACUUAGUCUAGGGGGUUUCCGUUUUUUAUUUAUUAAAAAACGAAUAAACAUCUUUGAACUUCACCACGGCGUCCCAUACUCUUCAUAUUGUUUGGCUAUGAUUUAAACGGUGGAACAUAUACAUUGGCAACCUUCAAGGAAGUACUGUCGGAUAUAGAUGAAAUAGCAAACGAGGUCAGCCCGACAGGAAGACAUAUAUUGGGGAACAUUUGCAAUACAAUGUCAGACAGGGCU